UCUCCUGUAGCUCAGUGGUAGAGCGUCCGACCAGUGUGCGGAAGGUCAUGGGUUGGACUCCUUUUGGGAGAA
Molecule: transfer RNA, 72 nt
Filed under: Desmophyllum pertusum
Lineage: Eukaryota; Metazoa; Cnidaria; Anthozoa; Scleractinia; Caryophylliidae
Description: Lophelia pertusa tRNA
Rfam family: tRNA
About the family: Transfer RNA (tRNA) molecules are approximately 80 nucleotides in length. Their secondary structure includes four short double-helical elements and three loops (D, anti-codon, and T loops).
Source: Rfam by way of RNAcentral